Molecule: long non-coding RNA, 3295 nt
Filed under: Mus musculus (house mouse)
Lineage: Eukaryota; Metazoa; Chordata; Mammalia; Rodentia; Muridae
Description: long non-coding RNA chr2:97470860-97474155
Source: RNAcentral
ACUGAACACUACUCCCAUUCGACCACAAACUAUAUUUUUCUGUUCAACCUUGUCAUGGCUUUUCUGUCCCUCUCCCUCCUUAUACAAAUAGGUAGAUGUUGCCAAGAGGAGGGAAGGAAGGGAAGGAAAAGACAGUCUAUUUGAAAUCUGUGUCAGAACAAAGCUCCAUCUCCCUGACAGGACCAGGUAUUUAAGGUGUUCCUUGUGAGUGAAUUACUUUGCCAGCAUCACACUUGGGUGCCCAGACUAAGCUUGGGAAUCCCCUUCUUUGGCUUGGGAAUCACUUGGCUGUACAGUAUCCACAAGUUUUUCAUGGGAUAGGAAAGAAAUCCUGGCUAUGGUGGAGUUGAAAUCCUACCUAAUGACUGCUUCAGCUCAAGUUGGCCACUCAGUGUAUUUGUGCUAGGUAGGUAAACAUAGGCACAGAAGUCUACUAGGGACCACACACCCAGAAAGCUGCAGGUUAGCACUAGUUUUAAAGGUAUUUCAAAUUUCUUCCUCCUGUAAUCUAAUAGCUACACCCUUUGAGCAAUAUUUUAAAUUUCCCCGUCCCUCAUCUUUUUUCUUUUGCUUGUGGGUUGAGAAUAACGUCUAACUUGUUGAUAAAUUAUACUUGUUUUGUAAAUUAUAAGUGAUAUUCUGGAAAACCUCAGCCACAAUAGUCUCUCUCAGGGUGGAUGUCUGUCUGUCAUGGUCAUUCUUGAGUUAAUUCAUGUGUAUCUACUUUCUGAGGAUGAAUGAAGUGUGACCAAGUACUUUAAGGGUCUGUUGGUUAAGUUCAAGCACAGUGACCGUGUAGUUUAAGGUUUCCCUUACCAGAAUGGGUUGUUUAAAAUAUAUUGCAUUAUAUAUAUAUAUAUAUAUAUAUAUAUAUAUAUAUAUAUAUAUACUGCUGUUUAGAAAAAGAAAUCUGAGCCAAAAAAUACUUAAAAGAUAAUUUAGGCAUAAUGAAAGAAUGAUUUAACUACACCUAUCAUGUUUUCUACUUUCAAUCUUAAAGUUUCAUAAGGUAACCUUGGACUUUAAGUGUCCUCUGGUUACAUAUGCAAUCAUCUUGUUCUGGAAUGCAUAAAUAAAGACAAAUGCCUUUGCAAAUAUAUAAAUUUAAAUGAAAUAGUACAUCAUUCUAUCACAGCACUUAAGAGCCCGAAUUUCACUCCCUUGAUGGGAGGGCUUCCUAUUCUGAUGUGUAGGCUCAAUCUGAGAAUGGUAAAAGAUGAAGGAAAAGCCAUAAGUAAGUCUUAAUAAUUUUCCACUUGUCUAAGCAGUGGGUCUUCACCAUGAUUUGUUGUUUGUCUACGAUAGUAGUCCUAUACUCUGUCCAUGUGCUCAGUGGACGUCCUUAGAACUCUCUUCCCUUUAAUAAUUACAAAACAAAGCCCAGUUUUUAGUCAUAGUAACUGAUGACAUCAGCAUCAUAUUGGCAAGCUGUGUAUAAUAAUACUGUCAGCUUGGUGUAUAGCUUACUGGGUUUUGAUUACUGAACUUUCUAAAGCACUUUAAAAUCUGGCAGGGUUUGGAAAGGCCUCCUAAGGUUCAUCGUUCUCACUUUCCAUUAACACAAAUGAAAACCGAACAUGAAAAAUGUUCACCAUUUGGUGCAUCUUAUAUUUUUGUGUGUUUUCUAAAAUUAAUAAAGAAAUCAGGCAGAAUUCAGAUGCUUUUGGUCAAACUGAACUCAAAUAACUUCACUGGGACACAUGAAUUAUACUUAGCAUUUAGCCUAUUUCAACCAAUAUGCUUAUCUGUAAAUUAGAGAUAACCACAUGAAGCUGUCUAGCAGAAAAAUUGAAUCAGGUUUCUUUAUGUCAUGUACUAUCAGCAUUCAAUAAUUCCAUGUUUAAAUUAACCAUCUUUGGUCUAUAAUCAGGUAAUGUGUGGAAUAGAAACAAGAGUAAAAAUGGGUUUUUGUUGAAGGAAAAAUCUUGACUACAAUUCACUUUGGUAACCCAGACAGGAUUGAAUUUGGUGUUAAUAAUGACAUCUUGACACACAUAGCAGUUACCUGGGAUUCAUGAUCCUCAGUUGAGGAGUUGCCUCAUUAGAUUGCUAUGUUGGUGGGAGUGUUUCCUGAUUGAUAUAGAAGAGCACAGCCCACUGCAGGAAGUACCAUCCUUGAACACAUAGUCAAGGGUUGUAUUAAAAAAUGUAGGCUGAACCAUAGGUACCAGACCAGUAAGCAGCAUUCCUGGUUUCUGUUUCAUUUCCUUCUGCUUGGUUCCCACCAUGAUUUCUGUCUUGACUUCCUGGAUUCAAGGACUAUAACCUACAAACUAAAGUUAACAGGUUCUUCCCCAAAGUGCUACUGGUCACAUUAUUUAUGGAAGCAAAAGAAUUACCCACCAGUCAUACAGCUUUCAAGCACACUUGGUCGUAUCUCAGUGAAAUAAUCAGUCAUCAAAAGCUGUGAAUAUACUUUGUGGAUUGUGAAAAAUAUACACUGUGUCCAUGUAUACUUUGGCUGCGUUGGCCAGAGGUUUAUAUCAUAGAUAACAAAAAUUGAUUUGUAAGUAAUAUCUUAGAAGACUCUAGGGUGAAGGGAGGCAGAUUAAGAAUUUAUGAUGUCUUCAUUUGGUUCAAAAUUAUUUUACUUAAUAAUUAUUGAAUUGAUAGACAAAAUUCAGUCUGUGGCUGAAAUAAUGAACUAGGUACUUUCUCUGAGGGAAUAGGCUGUGUUUUUCUCUGUCGUGUUCUCAGAAACUCAUACCCACAUGCAAAAAUUUCCAGUCUUUUGAUACCUAACUGUGCUUCAUUUAAUCAUCUCCUAUAAUGAAUUCAAGUACAUGUACACAACAUGUACAUUCUUGUGUACACACAAACCCUUGAGAAUGUGUGUGUGCGCUCACACACACACACACACACACACACACACACACACACACGUGAAAGAUUGUUCCUAAUAAUCUACAGGAAGUUAGUAAAAAUUCCUCAUGAUUGUUCUGACUGGAUACACAGAGAGAGGGAAAGAGAGGCUAUCUUUUAUUGAAAAUACUGGUCUGAACAUUAUGUGAUCCAGUAGAUUUUUCUUAUUUUUGAUGUUGUCAUGGGUGGACUGGUGAUAUUUGGAAUGUCUCAUACUAGCUCCUUUGUGCUUACAGUCACUUCUGUUCAGUAACAUUUAACACAGUGGUAGUUCAAGCACUAGGAACCUGGUAUUGAGUUUAUAGUUAUCUACCUAAGAAUUCAUGAUUGCUGGUAAUUAAGAGCAUAUAAUGCCUGAUAGUAGGAAAUUAGUGAUGAAGAGGUGAAUGGAAGCAUCAAGUCGUUUUCAUUUGCAGGUACAAUGGUGAAAGGG